RNAcentral lists this ribosomal RNA (206 nucleotides) under uncultured bacterium. Its description in RNAcentral is "partial 16S ribosomal RNA". It matches the Rfam family "Bacterial small subunit ribosomal RNA", at positions 1297 to 1500 of the family's 1533-position model. The record is from RNAcentral.
AUCGCAGUCUGCAACUCGACUGCGUGAAGGUGGAGUCGCUAGUAAUCGCGGAUCAGCAACGCCGCGGUGAAUGCGUUCCCGGGCCUUGUACACACCGCCCGUCAAGUCAUGAAAGUGGGCAGCACCCGAAGACGGUGGCCUAACCCUUGUGGGGGGAGCCGUCUAAGGUGAGGCUCGUGAUUGGGACUAAGUCGUAACAAGGUACC